GGUGAACGCUGGCGGCGUGCCUAACACAUGCAAGUCGAGCGGUGCAGUUUGAAGCUUCGGUGGAAAGCUGCAUAGCGGCGGACGGGUGAGGAAAACGUAGGAACGUGCCCCUUGGAGUUGGAUAGCCACGGGAAACUGUGGGUAAACCGACAUAGACUCGAGAGAGUAAAGGCCGAAAGGCGCCAAGGGAGCGGCCUGCGGCCCAUCAGGUAGUUGGUAGUGUAAAGGACUACCAAGCCGACGACGGGUAGCCGGUCUGAGAGGAUGGCCGGCCACAAGGGCACUGAGAGACGGGCCCUACUCCUACGGGAGGCAGCAGUGGGGGAUUUUGGACAAUGGGGAAACCCUGAUCCAGCCAUGCCGCGUGAAUGAUGAAGGCCUUCGGGUUGUAAAGUUCUUUUGGUGGGGACGAGUGAUGACGGUACCCACAGAAUAAGCUCCGGCUAACUUCGUGCCAGCAGCCGCGGUAAGAGUCACGUCG
Molecule: ribosomal RNA, 481 nt
Filed under: uncultured bacterium
Lineage: Bacteria
Description: bacterial SSU rRNA
Rfam family: Bacterial small subunit ribosomal RNA
Source: RNAcentral